This 460-nucleotide ribosomal RNA is filed under the name uncultured bacterium. RNAcentral describes it as "partial 16S ribosomal RNA". It matches the Rfam family "Bacterial small subunit ribosomal RNA", at positions 338 to 795 of the family's 1533-position model. The record is from RNAcentral.
CCUACGGGAGGCAGCAGUGAGGAAUAUUGGUCAAUGGCCGGAAGGCUGAACCAGCCAUGCCGCGUGAAGGUCAGUGCCCUAUGGGCGUUAAACUUCUUUUGUGCGGGAGCAAUAAUGGUCACGUGUGGCCAGACGAGAGUACCGUACGAAUAAGCAUCGGCUAACUCCGUGCCAGCAGCCGCGGUAAUACGGGGGAUGCAAGCGUUAUCCGGAUUUAUUGGGUUUAAAGGGUGCGUAGGCUGUGAGGUAAGUCAGCGGUGAAAUGCCCCCGCUCAACGGGGUGAAGUGCCAUUGAUACUGCCUGGCUGGAGUGCGGAUGCGGUGGGAGGAAUGUGUGGUGUAGCGGUGAAAUGCAUAGAUAUCACACAGAACACCGAUUGCGAAGGCAUCUCACGAAUCCGCGAUUGACGCUGAUGCACGAAAGCGUGGGUAUCAAACAGGAUUAGAUACCCGAGUAGUC